GACGAACGCUGGCGGCGUGCCUAAUACAUGCAAGUUGAGCGCUGAAGGUUGGUACUUGUACCAACUGGAUGAGCAGCGAACGGGUGAGUAACGCGUGGGGAAUCUGCCUUUGAGCGGGGGACAACAUUUGGAAACGAAUGCUAAUACCGCAUAAAAACUUUAAACACAAGUUUUAAGUUUGAAAGAUGCAAUUGCAUCACUCAAAGAUGAUCCCGCGUUGUAUUAGCUAGUUGGUGAGAUAAAGGCUCACCAAGGCGAUGAUACAUAGCCGACCUGAGAGGGUGAUCGGCCACAUUGGGACUGAGACACGGCCCAAACUCCUACGGGAGGCAGCAGUAGGGAAUCUUCGGCAAUGGACGAAAGUCUGACCGAGCAACGCCGCGUGAGUGAAGAAGGUUUUCGGAUCGUAAAACUCUGUUGGUAGAGAAGAACGUUGGUGAGAGUGGAAAGCUCAUCAAGUGACGGUAACUACCCAGAAAAGGACGGCUAACUACGU
Molecule: ribosomal RNA, 496 nt
Filed under: uncultured bacterium
Lineage: Bacteria
Description: partial 16S ribosomal RNA
Rfam family: Bacterial small subunit ribosomal RNA
Source: RNAcentral